UACAUCGAAUUGAUAAACGCACGCGAGCACUGGCGACAAUUGACGCAUUAAAGAACACGAGGCGCGAUGUCAACGACCCGUAGAUAAUCAUAUAUAGAUGAGGAUGAUGUCAGGAAGAGAUAGGGACCAUGUGAACAAUAAAGCGAUCAAUUUUUCUACUUUGUCUAACCGACACAUCUUUUUCCUCGCGAUUGAGAAAAAAGUGAUAGUUUAACAAACAUUAUCUAAUUCUCGAAUGGAUAAAAAAACUUAGCAUUGAAAAAAAUUAUGUACUUAUAUUUAGAACUUUCAUAAAUUCGCGAUUUUGAUAAAGUCGCGAAUAGGAAUUAAUAAUUCCUAAAAUUACCGUCCUGAUUAAAUCAACUCGGUCUUCGGUCACAUUCAGCGAUAUAUAUGCAAUUUUACGUAUAAUUGCGUAUGACGAGAUGUCGAAACGGUACUAGUUUUAGGAGCUAAUUAACGUCAUUAGCGCAAUAAACUGUGCACGAUCUCUUUGCGGUGAAGGGCGCUUUAGUACUGCGGGCUUUAAGUUAAGCGAGCUGAAUACCACGCUCCAAUACGCAAUUAAUAGUCACUUAUCACGAAGGAGAAAAAUAACGUUUAUAUAGAAGUAAAAUGCGGAACAAAAUAGAUUACUGACCUAAUCUUGAAUACACUUAAUUGCAACGGUAAUACAUAAUAAUAAUGUAACUUAGAAAUAAAUGUUUUCGCAGGAAAAAUCCCGUGCUAUGAAAAAAAUUUCGUCUCGAAAAUGAAAACGCGUGAUUCCGAAAAUCGGAAAUAGAAAACAGAAAAUGUUGGAUCUGCAGAUAUUCGACGUCUAUCUUCGUAAGUGCAUUAUCAGCGAGAUUGCGCCGAUUACUCCCAAACGAAGGAAAACAAAUGAGAUUGAAGAUUCAAUUCGGGCUCUAAUGGAGCUCGUAUAUGAGGCGAGUUAUGAAUUAUUCGCAGUCGCUUGACCAAGGAACAAUAUUCAUUGACCCGGUCAAGGAUUCCCCCGUCAGUUUUCAAUCCCUCCUUUCGCCCUUACUCGCACUCCUACGCGUUCUAAUUUUCGCGAAAAAAAAAACUUCGAAUAUUUCUGCAACAUGACGUGCAAAUUGGCUGUGGUGUCAGAAAUUUAGGUCACACGGUAUUCGGUUUCGAGAAAUAGCGGCCGAAUUGCGCUACGCGCGGCAGCGCUACCAUCGCUUUUCCGGAUAAAGUGAAACUUCGUUUAUUCGAGCCAUUCUCGGUGCGCUACGCCGGCUCCCCAAUACCUGGGGAACUACUAUAAAGUAGAACGUUCGAUAAUAUCCCUUGGAAAUUGACCGGCAAGGAUGUGAAGAUAGUUAUAGAAGAGAGGAUGUAUUUUCCGAGUGAUCCGAUGAGAACGUCGGCGGACGAAAUAGGGCAAUAAAAUUUCUUGUAGAAAAGCGAAAGAAUAGAGGAGCAGUAAGAGAUGUUAUCCUUCGCAACGUUAUCCUUCGAAAAUGAUAAGACAUAAAAAUAGUAACGUGAUACCUCUGUGACAAAAUACAUUUGUAAUUAAUAUGUUGUUAAAAUGAUUUUGACAGUUAAUAUAACCAAAUAUAGCAUCACGCGCAUUUACAUAAUCCGCUAUGCGGUUUCUUUCCGUAAUACCUAUUCCUGCAUUCAAAGAUGCCCGAGCGCGAUAUCGUCGAGCAUGAUAUUGCACGCAUGACAAAUGGAUCGCGUGUCAGUUACACAAUUGCAGUUCAGGGAGAACAUUUCGUAAAGAUUUAUACCUAAAGUCUUUCACGAGGAAGCAGACUUUGUAGCACCGUUGUAACACUUUUCUGCAGUUGAAAAAGAAUUAACGAAACGAGAACUUCACACAUUAUAUUUUCCGCACUAUUUCUAAUUCCGCGAUGCCGCGACGGUGAUUGAACUUAUUUAUGAAUGAAAAGUAUGAUCGGAAAGAUACGGAAGAACAAGCCUCGGGUAACUUCAAACACCCGUUGGAACAGCUCGUAAAUAC
Wasmannia auropunctata (little fire ant) is the source of this 1981-nucleotide long non-coding RNA. RefSeq lists it as uncharacterized. NCBI's taxonomy places the organism in Eukaryota, Metazoa, Arthropoda, Insecta, Hymenoptera, Formicidae. The record is from RefSeq and is a predicted model, not a curated record. The transcript has 3 exons.